UACGGGGGGGGCAAGCGUUGUUCGGAAUUACUGGGCGUAAAGGGCUCGUAGGCGGCCAACUAAGUCAGACGUGAAAUCCCUCGGCUUAACCGGGGAACUGCGUCUGAUACUGGAUGGCUUGAGGUUGGGAGAGGGAUGCGGAAUUCCAGGUGUAGCGGUGAAAUGCGCAGAUAUCAGGAGGAACACCAAUGGCGAAGGCAGCUCACUGGGACGGUAUUGACGCUGAGACGCGAAAGCGUGGGGAGCAAACAGG
This 253-nucleotide ribosomal RNA is filed under the name uncultured bacterium. Its description in RNAcentral is "partial 16S ribosomal RNA". It matches the Rfam family "Bacterial small subunit ribosomal RNA", at positions 524 to 776 of the family's 1533-position model. The record is from RNAcentral.